Molecule: long non-coding RNA, 741 nt
Filed under: Rattus norvegicus (Norway rat)
Lineage: Eukaryota; Metazoa; Chordata; Mammalia; Rodentia; Muridae
Description: long non-coding RNA NONRATT020017
Source: RNAcentral
AGUAAGGAAGGUGAGCUUCAAGGAGCGCCUGCAGUCAUCUAGAUCUGAGCUUCCAACCCCACUGUGUUUGCUGCUUUUGUAUCAGUGGGGCAAAUACUCGAGAGAGGCAAAUUAAGGUAGGGAGGCUCCUUUGGGUUCAGUUUCAGUCUGACAUGGCAGUGCGGGCAUGGAGCCUGGGAAGGCCUCAUCUAUGGCCGCAGAAUCAGGAGAGCGCUCUGCACGAGUUUGCUUGGCGAGGAAGCAGAGAGACCAGGAUUCAAAGCAAGCCUAGGCUACCACUCUCAAGACCUCGGGUGAGCCAUGUUUGCCAGUUAGCUCGUAAUUCUCAAAGCUCCCAGACAGUGCCAUCAGCUGAUGAUUGCCAGGAUGCUUGCUACCAAAAUGAGCCGUUCAUCUAACUGCCACAUCUUCAGAUGAUGACGCAGAGGUCAAGGAAGAUGGAGAGCGAUCAUGGCGCUUGCUGGCCGAUGACUGGCAGAGGCGCAGAGGUCAAGAAAGAUGCAGAGCGAUCAUGGCGCGGUGGGCACUGGCAGAGGGACAUCAAAACUGGUCUGCAUCAAACCCACCUCCAGAGAGUGCAAGCCAUCACCUCAGGAUCUCAUAGACAAACAAGCAAACAUCAAAGGAAGAAAAAUCUGACUCUCGAAAGGAUGCCGGGUGGCUCUUGCCUGUCUCCUUGUCUUUAAUAUAUAGUGCCAGGUUGCCUCCAACUACAGUUGCCAAUAAACAGUUUCAAAAUGU